Podarcis raffonei (Aeolian wall lizard) is the source of this 720-nucleotide long non-coding RNA. RefSeq lists it as uncharacterized. The record is from RefSeq and is a predicted model, not a curated record. The transcript has 2 exons. NCBI's taxonomy places the organism in Eukaryota, Metazoa, Chordata, Lepidosauria, Squamata, Lacertidae.
ACCCUUGAUAAACUGCUUGCAACCAAUUUCUUGCAAAUUUCCCUUUUACUGAAAAUUUGUAUUUGGGUGGGGGAGAGGGUCUUUGAGAGUUUAUUGGGCAUUUUUUUCUUAGUGCAAGUUAGUGCUAACUUAGUUCUGUUUUUCUCUCUUCUCUCACCCUCCCUUUUUUUUUAUUAAAAAAAACCCCAACAGUUAUUCCCUGCAAUAGAGCAGCAAUGGUCCUUCGGUCAACCAACGGAUGCCAGUUUAUCAGUGUUUGCAGAAGAAUUUUGCAGCAAGGAAGUUUCUGAGUCUUCUGCAUUCUGCAUGAGCCGUCAGUGGUGCAAAAGUGCUUAUAGUGCAGGAGCCGAAGGUGGUGCACGUGGCUCUCUUCAUUUUGUCCUCACAAGAGCUCUGUGAGGGAGAUUAGGAUGAGUGACCGUGACCAGCCCUGGGUCACCCAGUGAGCUUGAUGGCUGAGUGAAGGUUAGUCCAAAACUCUAACCACUGCACCACCAUGAGCUCUCCCUUUUUAUUGCUCGCCUCUGAAAUGGUUAUGGAGGGCUGAUUUUUUUUAAAAAAGCAUUCUUUUAUUUACGUUUGUAUUUUUGUGUGAUGUUUUGCAUGGUUUUAUGCAAUAAACUGGGAACUUGGUAUUGCAGACCUUUUAUAUCUGAGCUGCUUCAGCCCCUUGGGAGUUUUGCAGUAACUCAGACUCUUCACCAGCUUGCCUAAAUUCUA